Molecule: small RNA, 296 nt
Filed under: Paenibacillus sp. MY03
Lineage: Bacteria; Bacillati; Bacillota; Bacilli; Caryophanales; Paenibacillaceae
Description: 5' ureB small RNA
Rfam family: 5' ureB small RNA
Source: Rfam by way of RNAcentral
CCGUCUCAAUCUGCUGAGGACAUAUAAAAUGAAUAUGCGCGUCUAUCCCGCCGGCCGUAAUGAUUUUGCCUUCGCCUGCGAUGACUUCCGUGCUGGCCCCGACAAUCAUGCCGGGAUCCACGCCAUCCAUAAUAUCGGGAUUGCCCCCUUUGCCGAUACCGACAAUCAUGCCGUCCCUGAGGCCGAUAUCGGCCUUGACGAUACCCCAAUGAUCAAUAAUGAGCGCAUUCGUAAUAAUCGUAUCCAACACGCCUUCAUCACGCAGCGCCCCGCUGGACUGGCCCAUUCCGUCGCGA